AAUCUUGCGCAAUGGAGGGAACUCUGACGCAGCGACCCCGCGUGAGCGAUGAAGGUUUUCGGAUUGUAAAGCUCUGUCCCUGGGGCAGGAGGCGACCAUAUAUGGUCACUUGCGGGUACCCACGGCGGAAGCCCCGGCUAACUACGUGUCAGCAGCCGCGGUAAUACGUAGGGGGCAAGCGUUGUCCGGAAUUAUUGGGCGUAAAGGGUGCGUAGGCGGCCUUUUAAGUCAGAUGUGAAAGACCACGGCUUAACCGUGGGGUUGCAUUUGAAACUGGAGGGCUUGAGUAUCGGAGAGGGUAGUGGAAUUCCCAGUGUAGCGGUGGAAUGCGUAGAUAUUGGGAGGAACACCAGUGGCGAAGGCGACUACCUGGACGAAAACUGACGCUGAGGCACGAAAGCUAGGGGAGCAAACA
This 415-nucleotide ribosomal RNA is filed under the name uncultured bacterium. RNAcentral's name for it is "partial 16S ribosomal RNA". It matches the Rfam family "Bacterial small subunit ribosomal RNA", at positions 360 to 774 of the family's 1533-position model. The record is from RNAcentral.